This 496-nucleotide ribosomal RNA is filed under the name uncultured bacterium. Its description in RNAcentral is "partial 16S ribosomal RNA". It matches the Rfam family "Bacterial small subunit ribosomal RNA", at positions 29 to 507 of the family's 1533-position model. The record is from RNAcentral.
AUGCACGCUGGCGGCGUGCCUAAUACCUGCAAGUCGCGCGAACAGACGAGGAGCUUGCUCCUCUGACGUUAGCGGCGGACGGGUGAGUAACACGUGGAUAACCUACCUAUAAGACUGGGAUAACUUCGGGAAACCGGAGCUAAUACCGGAUAAUAUAUUGCACCGCAUGGUUCCAUAGUGAAAGACGGUUUUGCUGUCACUUAUAGAUGGAUCCGCGCCGCAUUAGCUAGUUGGUAAGGUAACGGCCUACCAAGGCAUCGAUGCGUAGCCGACCUGAGUGGGUGAUCGUCCACACUAGAACUGAGACACGGUCCAGACUCCUAAGGGAGGCAGCAGUAGGGAAUCUUCCGCAAUGGGAGAAAGCUUGACGGAGCAACGCCGCGUGAGUGAUGAAGGUCUUCGGAUCGUAAAACUCUGUUCUCAGGGAAGAACAAAUGUGUAAGUAACUAUGCACGUCGUGAGGGUACCUAAUCAGAAAGCCACGGCUAACUACGUG